GAUGAACGCUGGCGGCGUGCCUAAUACAUGCAAGUCGAGCGAACAGACGAGGAGCUUGCUCCUCUGACGUUAGCGGCGGACGGGUGAGUAACACGUGGAUAACCUACCUAUAAGACUGGGAUAACUUCGGGAAACCGGAGCUAAUACCGGAUAAUAUAUUUAACUGCAUGGUUCAAUAGUGAAAGACGGUUUUGCUGUCACUUAUAGAUGGAUCCGCGCCGCAUUAGCUAGUUGGUAAGGUAACGGCUUACCAAGGCAACGAUGCGUAGCCGACCUGAGAGGGUGGUCGGCCACACUGGAAGUUAGACACGGUCCAGACUCCUACGGGAGGCAGCAGUAGGGAAUCUUCCGCAAUGGGCGAAAGCCUGACGGAGCAACGCCGCGUGAGUAAUGAGGGUCUUCGGAUCGUAAUACUCUGUUAUUAGGGAAGAACAAAUGUGUAAGUAACUAUGCACGUCUUGACGGUACCUAAUCAGAAAGCCACGGCUAACUACGUG
RNAcentral lists this ribosomal RNA (497 nucleotides) under uncultured bacterium. Its description in RNAcentral is "partial 16S ribosomal RNA". It matches the Rfam family "Bacterial small subunit ribosomal RNA", at positions 28 to 507 of the family's 1533-position model. The record is from RNAcentral.